This 484-nucleotide ribosomal RNA is filed under the name uncultured bacterium. RNAcentral's name for it is "partial 16S ribosomal RNA". It matches the Rfam family "Bacterial small subunit ribosomal RNA", at positions 30 to 507 of the family's 1533-position model. The record is from RNAcentral.
AUUGAACGCUGGCGGCAGGCCUAACACAUGCAAGUCGAGCGGAUGAAGGGAGCUUGCUCCUGGAUUCAGCGGCGGACGGGCGAGUAAGGCAUAGGUAUCUGCCUGGCAGUGGGGGAUAACGUCAGGAAACGGGCGCUAAUACCGCAUCCGUCCUGAGGGAGAAAGUGGGGGAUCUUCGGACCUCACGCUAUCAGAUGAGCCUAGGUUGGAUUAGCUAGUUGGUGGGGUAAAGGCCUACCAAGGCGACGAUCCGUAACUGGUCUGAGAGGAUGAUCAGUCACACUGGAACUGAGACACGGUCCAGACUCCUACGGGAGGCAGCAGUGGGGAAUAUUGGACAAUGGGCGAAAGCCUGAUCCAGCCAUGCCGCGUGUGUGAAGAAGGUCUUCGGAUUGUAAAGCACUGUAAGUUGGGAAGAAGAGCAGUAAGUUAAUACCUUGCUGUUUUGACGUUACCAACAGAAUAAGCACCGGCUAACUUCGUG